AGUGAACGCUGGCGACGUGGUUAAGACAUGCAAGUCGAGCGGUAUUGAAGCCGUAGCAAUACGGUGGAGAGAGAGCGGCGAACGGGUGCGUAACACGUGAGAAAUACUGCCUUGAAGUACUGGAAGUAAGCCCACGGGAAACGUUAGGAGUUAAUUAGCCGGAUGUGGCGGCAAGCGGCGAUCGCUUGUCCUGCUAAAGACUUGUAACGGCGCUUCAAGAGGUCUCGCGGCCUAUCAGCUUGUUGGUGAGGUAACGGCUCACC
This 263-nucleotide ribosomal RNA is filed under the name uncultured bacterium. Its description in RNAcentral is "partial 16S ribosomal RNA". It matches the Rfam family "Bacterial small subunit ribosomal RNA", at positions 29 to 269 of the family's 1533-position model. The record is from RNAcentral.